Molecule: ribosomal RNA, 200 nt
Filed under: uncultured bacterium
Lineage: Bacteria
Description: partial 16S ribosomal RNA
Rfam family: Bacterial small subunit ribosomal RNA
Source: RNAcentral
AGAGUUUGAUCCUGGCUCAGAACUAACGCUGGCGGCGCGUCUUAAACAUGCAAGUCGAGCGGUAAGGCCCGCAAGGGUACACGAGCGGCAAACGGGUGAGUAACACGUAGGUAAUCUUCCUUUCAGUGGGGGACAACCUGCCGAAAGGCAGGCUAAUACCGCAUACUAUCCAGUUUUCCACGGAUUUCUGGAUGAAAGCA